UUUAUGGAGAGUUUGAUCCUGGCUCAGAGUGAACGCUGGCGGCGUGCCUAAUACAUGCAAGUCGAACGAUGAAGCUUCUAGCUUGCUAGAGUGCUGAUUAGUGGCGCACGGGUGAGUAACGCAUAGGUCAUGUGCCUCUUAGUUUGGGAUAGCCAUUGGAAACGAUGAUUAAUACCAGAUACUCCCUACGGGGGAAAGAUUUAUCGCUAAGAGAUCAGCCUAUGUCCUAUCAGCUUGUUGGUAAGGUAAUGGCUUACCAAGGCUAUGACGGGUAUCCGGCCUGAGAGGGUGAACGGACACACUGGAACUGAGACACGGUCCAGACUCCUACGGGAGGCAGCAGUAGGGAAUAUUGCUCAAUGGGGGAAACCCUGAAGCAGCAACGCCGCGUGGAGGAUGAAGGUUUUAGGAUUGUAAACUCCUUUUGUUAGAGAAGAUAAUGACGGUAUCUAACGAAUAAGCACCGGCUAACUCCGUGCCAGCAGCCGCGGUAAUACGGAGGGUGCAAGCGUUACUCGGAAUCACUGGGCGUAAAGAGCGCGUAGGCGGGAUAGUCAGUCAGGUGUGAAAUCCUAUGGCUUAACCAUAGAACUGCAUUUGAAACUACUAUUCUAGAGUGUGGGAGAGGUAGGUGGAAUUCUUGGUGUAGGGGUAAAAUCCGUAGAGAUCAAGAGGAAUACUCAUUGCGAAGGCGACCUGCUAGAACAUUACUGACGCUGAUUGCGCGAAAGCGUGGGGAGCAAACAGGAUUAGAUACCCUGGUAGUCCACGCCCUAAACGAUGGAUGCUAGUUGUUGGAGGGCUUAGUCUCUCCAGUAAUGCAGCUAACGCAUUAAGCAUCCCGCCUGGGGAGUACGGUCGCAAGAUUAAAACUCAAAGGAAUAGACGGGGACCCGCACAAGCGGUGGAGCAUGUGGUUUAAUUCGAAGAUACACGAAGAACCUUACCUAGGCUUGACAUUGAGAGAAUCCGCUAGAAAUAGUGGAGUGUCUAGCUUGCUAGACCUUGAAAACAGGUGCUGCACGGCUGUCGUCAGCUCGUGUCGUGAGAUGUUGGGUUAAGUCCCGCAACGAGCGCAACCCCCUUUCUUAGUUGCUAACAGGUCAUGCUGAGAACUCUAAGGAUACUGCCUCCGUAAGGAGGAGGAAGGUGGGGACGACGUCAAGUCAUCAUGGCCCUUACGCCUAGGGCUACACACGUGCUACAAUGGGGUGCACAAAGAGAAGCAAUACUGCGAAGUGGAGCCAAUCUUCAAAACGCCUCUCAGUUCGGAUUGUAGGCUGCAACUCGCCUGCAUGAAGCUGGAAUCGCUAGUAAUCGCAAAUCAGCCAUGUUGCGGUGAAUACGUUCCCGGGUCUUGUACUCACCGCCCGUCACACCAUGGGAGUUGUGUUUGCCUUAAGUCAGGAUGCUAAAUUAGCUACUGCCCACGGCACACACAGCGACUGGGGUGAAGUCGUAACAAGGUAACCGUAGGUGAACCUGCGGUUGGAUCACCUCCUUUCUAGA
RNAcentral lists this ribosomal RNA (1509 nucleotides) under Helicobacter pylori. RNAcentral's name for it is "bacterial SSU rRNA". It matches the Rfam family "Bacterial small subunit ribosomal RNA". Lineage: Bacteria; Pseudomonadati; Campylobacterota; Epsilonproteobacteria; Campylobacterales; Helicobacteraceae. The record is from RNAcentral.